GAUGAACGCUGGCGGCGUGCCUAAUACAUGCAAGUCGAGCGAACAGACGAGGAGCUUGCUCCUUUGGCGUUAGCGGCGGACGGGUGAGUAACACGUAGGUAACCUACCUAUAAGACUGGGAUAACUUCGGGAAACCGGAGCUAAUACCGGAUAAUAUUUCGAACCGCAUGGUUCGAUAGUGAAAGAUGGCUUUGCUAUCACUUAUAGAUGGACCUGCGCCGUAUUAGCUAGUUGGUAAGGUAACGGCUUACCAAGGCAACGAUACGUAGCCGACCUGAGAGGGUGAUCGGCCACACUGGAACUGAGACACGGUCCAGACUCCUACGGGAGGCAGCAGUAGGGAAUCUUCCGCAAUGGGCGAAAGCCUGACGGAGCAACGCCGCGUGAGUGAUGAAGGUCUUCGGAUCGUAAAACUCUGUUAUUAGGGAAGAACAAACGUGUAAGUAACUGUGCACGUCUUGACGGUACCUAAUCAGAAAGCCACGGCUAACUACGUG
This 497-nucleotide ribosomal RNA is filed under the name uncultured bacterium. Its description in RNAcentral is "partial 16S ribosomal RNA". It matches the Rfam family "Bacterial small subunit ribosomal RNA", at positions 28 to 507 of the family's 1533-position model. The record is from RNAcentral.